CGACACUGUGCGCUCUCCUGCAGACAGCCUCUCCACGUCAAGCUUCCAGUCUGUCAAGUCCAUCUCUAAUUCAGGCAAGGCCAGGCCCCAGCCCGGCUCCUUCAACAAGCAAGAUUCAAAAGCUGACGUCCCCCAGAAGGCGGACCUGGAAGAGGAGCCCCUACUUCACAACAGCAAGCUGGACAAGGUUCCUGGGGUACAAGGGCAGGCCAGCUGCAGCACCUCAAGUCCCUCCUGGAAGGGAGCCAGAGGUCCCAGGCGGCCCCAGAGGAAGCUAGCUUUCCCAGGGACCAAGAAGCCACGCAUUUCCCCAAGGUCUCCACCAAGAGCCUCUCCAGGAAAUGCCUGAGCCCACCUGUGGCGGAGCGUGCCAUCCUGCCCGCACUGAAGCAGACCCCGAAGAACAACUUUGCCGAGAGGCAGAAGAGGCUGCAGGCAAUGCAGAAACGGCGCCUGCAUCACUCAGUGCUUUGAGCCACCCGCAUCUGCUCAGUGCCAGGCCCACCAACCUGCAGCUGGAGACUGGCUCCCUAUAGCAUUUCCUGAUAUUUCCGCUACUUUUAGGCCUGGCUAAAUUCCAAGAUAGAUAACACUCAAGAUAGAUAAAGUAAUUGAUCUCCAAACUGAGAAACUGUUUAUUUUCUAGCUGUUAUUUUGCUAUUUGCCAUUUACAUAAAAGCACAUGAUGAAGCAGGUAUCGCCUUACCUGUUGAAACUGAAAAUAAAGCUUG
This 731-nucleotide long non-coding RNA is filed under the name Pan troglodytes (chimpanzee). Its description in RNAcentral is "long non-coding RNA NONPTRT011238". The record is from RNAcentral. Lineage: Eukaryota; Metazoa; Chordata; Mammalia; Primates; Hominidae.